This 204-nucleotide long non-coding RNA is filed under the name Elaeis guineensis (African oil palm). Its description in RNAcentral is "long non-coding RNA (EGUI_LNC057807)". The record is from RNAcentral. Lineage: Eukaryota; Viridiplantae; Streptophyta; Magnoliopsida; Arecales; Arecaceae.
UUGAUAUAAUAUUAGAGAUCUUUCGGAUAUAAAUUCUUCUUCCUUUUGCUCAUUUCAUAAUUAUAUAUAUUAAUGAUAAGCAAGAAUAGAAGCACCUGCAAAUAUUCUUUAGGACUAUAAUAAGAAAUGGACUAGUACUAACAGAAAAGGUAAUAGAACCUUUCCAAAUUAAAAUCCAGCUAGAUUAUAUCAUCAUACUUCUAU